GAGUUUGAUCCUGGCUCAGAUUGAACGCUGGCGGCAGGCUUAACACAUGCAAGUCGAGCGGUAGCACAAGGGAGCUUGCUCCCUGGGUGACGAGCGGCGGACGGGUGAGUAAUGUCUGGGAAACUGCCUGAUGGAGGGGGAUAACUACUGGAAACGGUAGCUAAUACCGCAUAACGUCGCAAGACCAAAGAGGGGGACCUUCGGGCCUCUUGCCAUCAGAUGUGCCCAGAUGGGAUUAGCUAGUAGGUGGGGUAAUGGCUCACCUAGGCGACGAUCCCUAGCUGGUCUGAGAGGAUGACCAGCCACACUGGAACUGAGACACGGUCCAGACUCCUACGGGAGGCAGCAGUGGGGAAUAUUGCACAAUGGGCGCAAGCCUGAUGCAGCCAUGCCGCGUGUGUGAAGAAGGCCUUCGGGUUGUAAAGCACUUUCAGCGAGGAGGAAGGUGGUGAGCUUAAUACGCUCAUCAAUUGACGUUACUCGCAGAAGAAGCACCGGCUAACUCCGUGCCAGCAGCCGCGGU
This 523-nucleotide ribosomal RNA is filed under the name Serratia marcescens. RNAcentral's name for it is "bacterial SSU rRNA". It matches the Rfam family "Bacterial small subunit ribosomal RNA", at positions 9 to 521 of the family's 1533-position model. The record is from RNAcentral. Lineage: Bacteria; Pseudomonadati; Pseudomonadota; Gammaproteobacteria; Enterobacterales; Yersiniaceae.